Molecule: long non-coding RNA, 772 nt
Filed under: Lotus japonicus
Lineage: Eukaryota; Viridiplantae; Streptophyta; Magnoliopsida; Fabales; Fabaceae
Description: long non-coding RNA (LJAP_LNC000484)
Source: RNAcentral
UUAUAUUCUUCUCCACAAUAUCUCUCUCGCUGGUUCCUAUUUUGUUCAUUUUCCCUUUUCAUUUCUUUUGUACAUCAUUAAUCUCUUUGUGAUGUUUUAUUCUAUUUCUCGUCAUUUUGUUUGAUUUUCCCCAAAUCGCUGCGCACAGAGGUUGAGAGGGAGAAAUCGUGACAAGGUAAGAAAGAAGGGAGCAGCAGCCAUGAGGGCCAUAAGGUGCCUAUGGUGAUCUGAGGAGGUCGUGGUGGUGGUUGCCGACGACGGCAGCCCCUGGAUGGCAGAUUUGAAGAAGAUUGAAGGGGGAAAAUGAAGCAGAAGAAGAGGAAGGUGAAAGGAGGAAGAAAAGGAUGAGCGAUUACAAAGAUGAAUGAGGUAGUGUUGGAAUAUUUUUAAGAGGGUAAUACAUCACAACUUAUCAGGUCUUAUCUCACAUUUUGAUGAUGGAUUAAAUUAUACACCAUUUUAAUGUAUAAGGAUGGUUUGAUGGAUAAAGUUAUCCAAUACAAUGUAAGCUCCAAAUGACUAAUAAGCUUAUAAUGUAUUAUAUUAACUUAUACAAUCAGGCCUAAUACGGUGCUCCAAACGGGCACUCAGUGAUUACAGUAUUCAGGCUACAUGGAUGAAUUUAAGAUAUUAACCAUGAGUUACAUGAUUAGUUUAUUUUAAAAAACAAGACUAAUUAAUUAGAUUUAUUAUAUAAGGUGAAAACUAAGAUGUAAAUUGUAAUAAUAUUUAUUUGGAUUAAUUAUGUACAUUUUCCUUAUAAUUUGAAUCA